This 320-nucleotide ribosomal RNA is filed under the name uncultured bacterium. RNAcentral's name for it is "bacterial SSU rRNA". It matches the Rfam family "Bacterial small subunit ribosomal RNA", at positions 470 to 789 of the family's 1533-position model. The record is from RNAcentral.
UGACGGUACCCCAGAAGGAAGCCCCGGCCAACUACGUGCCAGCAGCCGCGGUAAUACGUAGGGGGCAAGCGUUAUCCGGAUUUAUUGGGCGUAAAGGGAACGCAGGCGGUUUUUUAAGUCUGAUGUGAAAGCCUUCGGCUUAACCGGAGAAUAGCAUUGGAAACUGGAAGACUUGAGUGCAGAAGAGGAGAGUGGAACUCCAUGUGUAGCGGUGAAAUGCGUAGAUAUAUGGAAGAACACCAGUGGCGAAAGCGGCUCUCUGGUCUGUAACUGACGCUGAGGUUCGAAAGCGUGGGUAGCAAACAGGAUUAGAUACCCUG